CAGUAGCCGCGGUAAUACGAGGGGGGCAAGCGUUGUUCGGAAUUAUUGGGCGUAAAGGGUGCGUAGGCGGUUUGACAAGUCUUGUGUGAAAUCUCUGGGCUCAACCCAGAGUCUGCACGGGAAACUGUCGGGCUAGAGGAUGGGAGAGGUGAGUGGAAUUUCCGGUGUAGCGGUGAAAUGCGUAGAUAUCGGAAGGAACACCUGUGGCGAAAGCGGCUCACUGGACCAUUUCUGACGCUGAUGCACGAAAGCUAGGGGAGCAAACAGGAUUAGAUACCCGGGUAGUCCCUGUCUCUUAUCC
Molecule: ribosomal RNA, 301 nt
Filed under: uncultured bacterium
Lineage: Bacteria
Description: partial 16S ribosomal RNA
Rfam family: Bacterial small subunit ribosomal RNA
Source: RNAcentral